This 376-nucleotide unclassified non-coding RNA is filed under the name soil metagenome. Its description in RNAcentral is "partial contains 5.8S ribosomal RNA, internal transcribed spacer 2, and large subunit ribosomal RNA". The stretch from base 1 to 120 matches the Rfam family "5.8S ribosomal RNA", at positions 35 to 154 of the family's 154-position model. The record is from RNAcentral.
GAUGAAGAACGCAUCGAAAUGCGAUAAGUAAUGUGAAUUGCAGAAUUCAGUGAAUCAUCGAAUCUUUGAACGCAUCUUGCGCUCCUUGGUAUUCUGAGGAGCAUGCCUGUUUGAGUGUCAUUAAAUUCUCAACUACACUGACUUUGAAUUGGUGUGGCUUGGAUUUGGGGGGAAAAUUGUUGUGGGCUUUUUGUAUAGUCUGCUCCCCUGAAAUUGAUUAGCGGUACCUUUGUGGAACUGUCUACAGGUGUGAUAAUUAUCUACAUCUUAGACAUCUGCUGGAAUGCUGCUUUCUAAACCUUACUUGUAUUGACAAUCUUGACCUCAAAUCAGGUAGGACUACCCGCUGAACUUAAGCAUAUCAAUAAGCGGAGGA